Molecule: long non-coding RNA, 969 nt
Organism: Mizuhopecten yessoensis (Yesso scallop)
Lineage: Eukaryota; Metazoa; Mollusca; Bivalvia; Pectinida; Pectinidae
Exons: 3
Source: RefSeq, a predicted model, not a curated record
CGCGUCUUUGAAUGAAGGAGGUGGAACAUGUAUCAGCAAUGAAUCAAAGUAUUGAAAUCUUAAGUUCGAAAUAACAUAUUGCAAUAAACGUGCAUUAAAUCCAACUUAUUUCCUUAAUGUUUAUAUAGAGUCAUGCCCUUUUUCUGAUUCAGAGAAGCAAGAGAACUGUUAAACUUUUCGGGUUUUAGAGAUAUGUUAAAGAGUAACUGUAGUGCAAAUAGUAACCGAUAAUAAAACAUUCCUUGUGUUUAUAUAAUGAUGUUGCCGAAAACCGCAUCGAAAUCGCUGGACCGGUUACCAAGUUACGACAGGUAGAAGUUGAGCGUUUUACCUGCGUUUCCAUAUGCUCAUCAAGCGUACCGCGCGCCGCUAAAAGUUGUGCACACGUAUUGGUGACGUCACAACGGGAACACAAGAAAAACCGGCAUCAUGGCGAAUAACGUUACCUACGUAUCGAUCUGAGAAAGCGACGAAGAAUCUGUUGAUUUAUACAUGUCUGACGGCUCAUCUAACUUUGAGAUGGACGGGGCAACCUACGACGGAGUAACACAGCCUUACAUGUUCGAACCAGAGACGGAUGACGACCCAAACGAGGAAACUUCAGUGGCCGACCACGAGCCCGAGAUCCAAACCAUACGACUUUGAAGCAACAAUUGUUGUAGAUGCGGACACUGUCCUGCAAUGUCUACCGAAGUGGAAAGUAUUUGUUGCAAAGAAGUCGACCAGGUCCAAGUCAUGAUGGAUGCCAUUCCAGGUGACCUAUCAUGCAUCACUCUCCAUCCUGGAUUUGAUGCUGUCUGUUUGAAUAUUUAUGUUCUGCAGACAGCAUACCUGACAUUUCGUCAGUACCAUGGUCAAUUGACAGACGAUGAAAACAAGAGAAAUCGAUAUAUUGCCUUUCGUCAAUUUGUGAGAUGGUGCUGGGGUUGGCUUGGUCGACAUGUUCGUGUACGACUCCCAGCAUGUGCU